CCUGGCGGCACUAGCGCGGUGGUCCCACCUGACCCCAUGCCGAACUCAGAAGUGAAACGCCGUAGCGCCGAUGGUAGUGUGGUGUCUCCCCAUGUGAGAGUAGGGAACUGCCAGGC
Molecule: ribosomal RNA, 116 nt
Filed under: Klebsiella pneumoniae
Lineage: Bacteria; Pseudomonadati; Pseudomonadota; Gammaproteobacteria; Enterobacterales; Enterobacteriaceae
Source: RNAcentral